GGGGGAUGAUGAGUGGUCAAUGCUUGCGAUAAUACAGGAUGCGAGAUGGGCGUACCGGCCCAAAGCCUGGUUACGACAACCCGGGCGCUCCAAUCCUUCGUACCUUCUGAUCCC
Molecule: small nucleolar RNA, 114 nt
Organism: Syzygium oleosum
Lineage: Eukaryota; Viridiplantae; Streptophyta; Magnoliopsida; Myrtales; Myrtaceae
Product: small nucleolar RNA Z279/snoR105/snoR108
Exons: 1
Source: RefSeq, a predicted model, not a curated record